UACAGAGGGUGCAAGCGUUGUUCGGAAUUAUUGGGCGUAAAGCACGUGUAGGCGGCAUGGCAAGUCGGGUGUGAAAGCCCUCAGCUCAACUGAGGAAGUGCGCCCGAAACUGCUGUGCUUGAGUGCCGGAGAGGAUGGCGGAAUUCCCCAAGUAGAGGUGAAAUUCGUAGAUAUGGGGAGGAACACCGGUGGCGAAGGCGGCCAUCUGGACGGUAACUGACGCUGAGACGCGAAAGCGUGGGUAGCAAACAGG
Molecule: ribosomal RNA, 253 nt
Filed under: uncultured bacterium
Lineage: Bacteria
Description: partial 16S ribosomal RNA
Rfam family: Bacterial small subunit ribosomal RNA
Source: RNAcentral